Molecule: ribosomal RNA, 445 nt
Filed under: uncultured bacterium
Lineage: Bacteria
Description: bacterial SSU rRNA
Rfam family: Bacterial small subunit ribosomal RNA
Source: RNAcentral
UCCAGACUCCUACGGGAGGCAGCAGUGGGGAAUAUUGCACAAUGGGGGAAACCCUGAUGCAGCGACGCCGCGUGAGUGAAGAAGUAAUUCGUUAUGUAAAGCUCUAUCAGCAGGGAAGAAAAUGACGGUACCUGACCAAGAAGCCCCGGCUAACUACGUGCCAGCAGCCGCGGUAAUACGUAGGGGGCAAGCGUUAUCCGGAUUUACUGGGUGUAAAGGGAGCGUAGACGGCAGCACAAGUCUGGAGUGAAAUCCCGGGGCUUAACCCCGGAACUGCUUUGGAAACUGGCAGGCUGGAGUGCCGGAGAGGCAGGCGGAAUUCCUAGUGUAGCGGUGAAAUGCGUAGAUAUUAGGAGGAACACCAGUGGCGAAGGCGGCCUGCUGGACGGUGACUGACGCUGAGGCUCGAAAGCGUGGGGAGCAAACAGGAUUAGAUACCCCUGUA